CGUACACUCCUACGGGAGGCAGCAGUGGGGAAUAUUGCACAAUGGGCGCAAGCCUGAUGCAGCCAUGCCGCGUGUAUGAAGAAGGCCUUCGGGUUGUAAAGUACUUUCAGCGGGGAGGAAGGCGAUAAGGUUAAUAACCUUGUCGAUUGACGUUACCCGCAGAAGAAGCACCGGCUAACUCCGUGCCAGCAGCCGCGGUAAUACGGAGGGUGCAAGCGUUAAUCGGAAUUACUGGGCGUAAAGCGCACGCAGGCGGUCUGUCAAGUCGGAUGUGAAAUCCCCGGGCUCAACCUGGGAACUGCAUUCGAAACUGGCAGGCUAGAGUCGUGUAGAGGGGGGUAGAAUUCCAGGUGUAGCGGUGAAAUGCGUAGAGAUCUGGAGGAAUACCGGUGGCGAAGGCGGCCCCCUGGACAAAGACUGACGCUCAGGUGCGAAAGCGUGGGGAGCAAACAGGAUUAGAAACCCCAGUAGUCCC
RNAcentral lists this ribosomal RNA (475 nucleotides) under uncultured organism. RNAcentral describes it as "partial 16S ribosomal RNA". It matches the Rfam family "Bacterial small subunit ribosomal RNA", at positions 330 to 797 of the family's 1533-position model. The record is from RNAcentral.